RNAcentral lists this long non-coding RNA (206 nucleotides) under Lathyrus oleraceus (garden pea). Its description in RNAcentral is "Pisum sativum (pea) long non-coding RNA (PSAT_LNC039826)". The record is from RNAcentral. Lineage: Eukaryota; Viridiplantae; Streptophyta; Magnoliopsida; Fabales; Fabaceae.
GCCACUUAGCGGAACAUUGACAUCACGAGCAGUUCAGACCCUGGUGGGAUAUCAUCGUUGCAUACUUCGGGUGUGUAUAUGAUGGUAUUCUGCGAAAGGUUAUUUAUGUUGCGUUUCUUUCGACUUUACCCUGGCCUAGAUGACACCCGUGAGUGGGAGGGGAUAAUUAUUACAGGUACUGUUGCUGACUUGUUGGUGACUGGUUG